RNAcentral lists this long non-coding RNA (257 nucleotides) under Elaeis guineensis (African oil palm). RNAcentral's name for it is "long non-coding RNA (EGUI_LNC057443)". The record is from RNAcentral. Lineage: Eukaryota; Viridiplantae; Streptophyta; Magnoliopsida; Arecales; Arecaceae.
UUCUGGAUACAGUCAAGUACUUGUGAAGUUUGAGUACAAAUCAAGAUAGGAUUGACCGCUCCAAGUAAAAUUGGAGAUGAUACAUCAUUGUGUUUUAAUUCAGCAAAACUUUAACCAAAGUAGUUCUAGUGAAGAGUCGCAGAAUUUUUGAGAUUGAGACACAAUAUGGACUACUCUUUUUGGGUUGAUAGUUUACCCUUAGUCAUCCUUAAGCAUCAAGUGUCGAAGGGAUGAAUUAUACAGUAACUAUAUCCAUA